GAAGAAGAGAAGAAGGUGUUAGCGUCAAAAUCAGAAAAUUUUCCGUUCAAGUUCGAAUUCGAUCAAAUUGUUGACUAAAUAGGUUAUUGAUUAAACAAGCAAGUAGCCAAGGGAAGGAUCCACUUAGAUACAACACUCUAUUACAAGAGUUCUAGCUGCCAUGGCUGAAUGGGAUGAAUGGAUAAUGAAAUAUGAAAGCGACUGUGUUGAUUGGAAUCCAGAACCUACCUCUACAUCUCGAAUCCAGAAAUUAAAAGAGGGGGUACGAGAUAUCGUCAUUGGAGGUACAUCUGCAGGUUCCAAGAAUUCCACCAAACAACCUAUAUCUCCUACAUCUCAAAUCCAGAAACAACCGACAGAUGAAUGGGUAGAUGAAUGGAUCAGACGAUAUGAAGACCUUAGUCGUGGAGGUACAUAUGCAGGUUCCACCAGAAAACCUGUAUGUCCAACAUCUCAAAUCCAGAAACAAUCAAUUGAUUUAAAGGUAUCACUUCAGAUGUUUCUCCAAGAAGCAACAAGUUUUGCAGAUCAGUGGACGGACGUCAACAGAAAGUAUGAUGACAGGAGGUCAUUCCCUAGGUUUCUAAGGAAAUCACAAAUGUUUGGGAUGGAUUGGCACAAGUAUAUGCCUGAGGACAGUGAGAUCAAUGUUAGUAACCAACCAAAUAGAUGGUCGUCUCUUCAGGCGCUGUCGAAUAAUGUGGUGCAUUUACGUUCAAAGUGAACUUCAGAUCCAAACUGGGUUAUGGCAGAUAAAUACUACGACAAAAGCUUGUCAUUGAUGCAACUUUUGCAUAAGAUUUAUUUAGAAUCUGUCGUCGAUUUCAGCCGAGAGCAGGCUGAAUUGCUGGGGUCUUUCCUAGGCCACCUCAUCAUGUUACAACAGGAGCAGCGGGUUAUUGCGUAUGGUUUCUCUGAGCAUCUGGAACAAUUGAGAAAGCGUGAUGAGGCUGCCACACCUGCAUUUUCUUCCAAUUCUGUUGAUGAUGAUGGAGAUAGGAUCAAGUGUCCUUUAAUCCUUUCCAAGCACACCAUGGACUCCUAUAUAUGGCGACAAAAGCACCAAUUUGAUAGUCUGUAUAUCAUUUUACGUGAAUCGACUUAAUUACUGAAGAAACUCGAGGAUUCCCGUUUUAGGGUUCCCAUAUUUGUUGAGGAGUCCCACAAGAAUCUCAAAAGGAUCAUGCGUUUUACUUCAGAGUUUAAGAAAUCCAAGGAAAAUAAAGAUAUUUUAUAUCAUUUUGGAAAGUAUAUAAAAGGUCUCCAAGAGAAAGGUGUUGGCAAAGGGUCUGUUAUAGAGAAGCUACUUGAUUGUCUUGGUGAUGUAUGUGAGAUUUCGAUGGAAAAGGACAAGUCGUCUUCCCCUGUUGAUGCAUUUAUGAAGGCUGUGGAGGAAACUGCCAAGCUGAUAGAAGAAGCAAGAAAGAAAUUAAAUUCAGAUAGGUUUGCUACUCUUAAUGGAGGCUCGCCUCUUGGAAACAUUACUUUAUGGAGAAUCCUAUUCGAAUCAUCACUGGUUGAUCUUCGGUUAGAUCUGAUAAGUAAGAGGCAUGGUGAAGCAAUCAAACUUGGGGUUAAAGUGGGGGAACACAAAUGUGAUUAUUACGUACAGACAUGUUUGGAUGCGCUUGAUUCAAAGAUUAGUUUGUUAGUGUCAGAUGGGGAUAGGGUUCUGCGUGAAUUUGUAGCCAUGCACAAAACAAUGGCAAAUUACUUACAUGCUAGGCGAUGCUUUUACAACUGGUGGUGCUGGUAUGAGAGAAUUGGAGGCAUCUGAGGAGAGUUCAAGCAAGAAUGACAAAGCAGAAACGAAGAUGGAUUUCAAUCUUGAUUUCCCUUGGGAUAAACACAAUAUCCGUGAUGAAGUUGAGAUUGACUGGGAGGAUCCGGAUAGUUAUCCAUGCUGCGAGUAUGGUCCAGAAGACGACAUUAACUUCUGACUUUACAUUGAUCCGAACCUGUAUUGUGCUUUUUUUUUACUCCUAUUAGGCCAUUAUCUUUUGUAUAAAAGUAGUAAAGUAGUUCUGUUGCUAACUUUUCAUGGUGCGUUAUAAAGUUAAUUUUACGUAUGGGAGUUUGAAUGUUAUGAUUUGAGGUUUUCCGCCUUCUGGCUUGUCUCUGUCUCUUGAGAUGAAAAUUAUUACUAGUUGCACGAGAAAAGGGUUAGUCUCUUCUCUUAUUACUUGCUUCCCCUUGUUUUUAUAGGAAACACUACUUUCCUAAAAUCGAACUUCCAAUAUUAUAUAGCUAACCAAGUUACCCCGUUUAUGGUAAUUAAUUAGGGUUUCUUUUUUCCGAUUGGUUUCCUAGUUUAUUAGUUUGGUUUCUUUUUCUAGUUUUAAUGCUUUUAGAAAAUAUAAAAGCAUGGCAAGGUAGGAAAAGUCUGAAACUCAGUUUUGUGCAGGUUAUUAUUAUUGGUUAAACAAACAACUCUGAUACUGGUGUUUGAGCAACCAUGGGUGUUUCAGAUAUCAAGGAUGAUAAAUGGGUAGAAAGAUACUUCGAUAACUUAACUAUUAAAGUAGUCAAGAAAAGGAACAAGCCACAAGUAGGCAAGGGAAGGAAGGAAGGAACAAAUCUGAUACUGUUGUUCCAGCUACAUGGAUAGGCAGAUACUUCAAUUACAUAAGUUCUAGAGUUGCAUAUGAUGGUUCCCCAAAUCAACUUAUAUAUCCAAGAUCUGAAAUUAAGGAACAACCAAUUGAUUUAGAGUCUUCACUUAAGAUGUUUUUGCAAGAAGCAGCAUGUGAUGCUGAUGACUGGACGGAUGUCCACACGAAGUAUGAUGACAGGAGGUCAUUCCCUGCGUUUCUUAACCUGGAAAGUAUGCCUCCAAUGAGGAUGAUGCCAUCCAUAUUAGGUACCCUCAAGAUAGAUGUUGGCUGUCGUCCCUUAAGGUGUCGCCAGAUGUUGUGGUUGCAAAUGAAUGCUAUGGUGGAAGCUUGUCUUUAAUGAAACUUUUGCAAAGAACUCGUUCAGAAUCUGGCGAUCAUUUCAGGGGAGAGCAGGCUCGGUUGUUGGAUUCUUUCCUCGAUCACCUCAUCAAGAUACAGCAGGAGCAGCGGUUUGUCGCAAAGAGUUUCUCUGAGCAUCUGGAACAAUUGAGAAAAUCUGAUGCAGUUGCAUUAUCAUAUGUUGAUGAUGAUGGAGAUAGGCACAACUUUCCUCUUAUCCGUUCCGAGCACACCAUGGACUCCUAUAUGUGGCAACAAAAGCACGUAUUGGAUAGUCUGUGUAUCAUGUCACGUAAAAUUGGCUUGGUUGUUGAAGCAACUCAAGGAUUCCCCUUUUACUAGUCCCUCAUCCAUCGAGGAGUCCAACAAGAUUCUUGACAUCAUCUUGGUUUUUAUUUCAAAGUUCAAGAAAUCAAAGUUCAAGAUUCGUGUACAUGUCUUUCCGGUUUGUUCUCAUUGAGACCAAUGUUAUUUUUUUUCUUUUUAAUUAUCCAGUUUCUGUUCUAGGAAUCGUUGGAUCAGUAUCUUCUUGAUGAACGUUGCUGCUUUAAUAAUGGUCAACCGACGCAAUAGGUUAUGCAAAAUGAUGAAAUAUUAAAUGAUUUUGGAGGGUGCAUAAAAAACCUCCUGGAACAAGGUGUUGAAAGAAAAUCUCUCGUGGAAAUGCUGCUUGGAUGUUUUGUAGUGUAGUCAAUAUGCACUACAACUCUGCAGAGCGAGUAAAUCCUUUCCGGGAGACCUGUUCUCCCCUUCAUUGUUCGUUUUCUGAGUCUGCAAAGGAAACAUCAGAGCUGACAAAUGAAGCAGUAGAGAAACUAAUUUCAGUCAGGUGUUCUGAUCUUACCGGUGGAGGCUCUCCACUUGGAUGUAUCGCUUUGUGGAGGAUUCUAUUUGAAUCAUCUCUAAUUAAUCUUCGGUUGGAUCUUUUAUGUAAAAAGCACAGUGAAACAGUCAAACUAGGGGUUAAACCGUUAGACGCUGCCACAAACGAUCAAUUGGAUCAAAUUAGGCUGUCGACUAAUAAACUAUUGACAGUUGGGGAAAGCGUCCUGGUUGAAUUUUUAUAGCCAUGCACAAAGCGGUGGCAGAAGUUUCUUAUAUGCUAGGAGAUGCUUUUACAACCGGUGGUGCUGGUAUGAGAGGUUUGAGUGAUGUUAUGCAUCAUCCUGGGACUUCAAGCAACCAUGAUUACCAAGGAAUGGAUUUCAAUCUCAAUGAUUUUCCUUGGGAUAAGCACAAUGUUCCUAGUGCUACGAUUGGUCCUAAAACGAGGAAUUGGCCAAAGUACUACAAAAAUUAUGAGUAGUGUUAUAUUUUUAGCUGUUUUCUCUCUUCAUCUUUUAUACCGAACAAAUCUCUCUAAUUAAAGAUUAAUGGGAGAUUAAUAUCGAAGCAAAGAUCAAUUCACGCC
Molecule: RNA transcript, 4365 nt
Organism: Papaver somniferum (opium poppy)
Lineage: Eukaryota; Viridiplantae; Streptophyta; Magnoliopsida; Ranunculales; Papaveraceae
Gene name: midasin-like
Exons: 14
Source: RefSeq, a predicted model, not a curated record